This 497-nucleotide ribosomal RNA is filed under the name uncultured bacterium. RNAcentral's name for it is "partial 16S ribosomal RNA". It matches the Rfam family "Bacterial small subunit ribosomal RNA", at positions 28 to 507 of the family's 1533-position model. The record is from RNAcentral.
GAUGAACGCUGGCGGCGUGCCUAAUACAUGCAAGUCGAGCGAACGGACGAGAAGCUUGCUUUUCUGAUGUUAGCGGCUGACGGGUGAGUAACACGUGGAUAACCUACCUAUAAGACGGGGAUAACUUCGGGAAACCGGAGCUAAUACCGGAUAAUAUUUUGAACCGCAUGGUUCAAAAGUUAAAGACGGUCUUGCUGUCACUUAUAGAUGGAUCCGCGCUGCAUUAGCUAGUUGGUAAGGUAACGGCUUACCAAGGCAACGAUGCAUAGCCGACCUGAGAGGGUGAUCAGCCACACUGGAACUGAGACACGGUCCAGACUCCUACGGGAGGCAGCAGUAGGGAAUCUUCCGCAAUGGGCGAAAGCCUGACGGAGCAACGCCGCGUGAGUGAUGAAGGUCUUCGGAUCGUAAAACCCUGUUAUUAGGGAAGAAAAUAUGUGUAAGUAACUGUGCACAUCUUGACGGUACCUAAUCAGAAAGCAACGGCUAACUACGUG